CCCUUAGAUGUUCUGGGCCGCACGCGCGCUACACUGAUGUGUCCAGUAAGCACCUAACCUCUUCCGAAAGGAACGGGUAACCUUUGCAAAGCACAUCGUGAUGGGGAUAGAUUAUUGCAAUUAUUAGUCUUGAACGAGGAAUUCCUAGUAAGCACAAGUCAUCAGCUUGUGUUGAUUACGUCCCUGCCCUUUGUACACACCGCCCGUCGCUCCUACCGAUUGAAUGUUCCGGUGAGCUCUUCGGACUGCGCGGUCUGCAGUUUCUGCGUUCCGUGCGGAAAGUUGCGCAAACCUUAACAUUUAGAGGAAGGAGAAGUCGUAACA
RNAcentral lists this ribosomal RNA (324 nucleotides) under uncultured eukaryote. Its description in RNAcentral is "partial 18S ribosomal RNA". It matches the Rfam family "Eukaryotic small subunit ribosomal RNA", at positions 1470 to 1796 of the family's 1831-position model. The record is from RNAcentral.